Molecule: ribosomal RNA, 390 nt
Filed under: uncultured archaeon
Lineage: Archaea
Description: bacterial SSU rRNA
Rfam family: Archaeal small subunit ribosomal RNA
Source: RNAcentral
ACUACGAGGGGUAGGAGUGAAAUCUUGUAAUCCCUGUGGGACCACCGUGUAGGCGAAGGCGUCUUACCGAGAACGGGUUCGACGGUGAGGGACGAAAGCUGGGGGCACGAACCGGAUUAGAUACCCGGGUAGUCCCGAAGCCGUAAACGAUGCUCGCUAGGUGUCAGGCAUGGCGCGACCGUGUCUGGUGCCGCAGGGAAGCCGUGAAGCCGAGCCACCUGGGAAGUACGGCCGCAAGGCGUGAAACUUAAAGGAAUUGGCGGGGGAGCACAACAACGGGUGGAGCCCUGCGGUUUAAUUGGACUCAACGCCGGACAACUCACCGGGGCGUACAGCAAUAUGUAGGCCAAGCUGAAGACUUUGCCUGAAUCGCUGAGAGGAGGUGCAUGG